Molecule: ribosomal RNA, 748 nt
Filed under: uncultured delta proteobacterium
Lineage: Bacteria; Deltaproteobacteria
Description: bacterial SSU rRNA
Rfam family: Bacterial small subunit ribosomal RNA
Source: RNAcentral
AGAGUUUGAUCCUGGCUCAGAAUGAACGCUGGCGGCGUGCUUAACACAUGCAAGUCGCACGAGAAAGCACCGAGCUUGCUUGGUGCGAGUAAAGUGGCGCACGGGUGAGUAACGCGUGGAUAAUCUACCUNCGAGUUCGGGAUAACACUUCGAAAGAGGUGCUAAUACCGGAUAACAUCACGGAAGCUUUGGUUUUUGUGAUCAAAGAUGGCCUCUGCAUGCAAGCUAUCGCUUGGAGAUGAGUUCGCGUACCAUUAGCUUGUUGGUGGGGUAAGGGCCUACCAAGGCGACGAUGGUUAGCUGGUCUGAGAGGAUGAUCAGCCACACUGGCACUGACACACGGGCCAGACUCCUACGGGAGGCAGCAGUGAGGAAUUUUGCGCAAUGGGGGUAACCCUGACGCAGCAACGCCGCGUGAGUGAAGAAGGCUUUCGGGUCGUAAAGCUCUGUCGAGUGGGAAGAACCCGCAGCAGGUCAACAGGCUGCUGCGCUGACGGUACCACUUGAGGAAGCACCGGCUAACUCCGUGCCAGCAGCCGCGGUAAUACGGAGGGUGCAAGCGUUAUUCGGAAUUACUGGGCGUAAAGGGCGCGCAGGCGGCCAGAUAAGUCAGUAGUGAAAGCCCGGGGCUCAACCUCGGAAGUGCUGCUGAAACUGUUUGGCUUGAGUAUGGUAGAGGGAAGCGGAAUUCCUGGUGUAGCGGUGAAAUGCGUAGAUAUCAGGAGGAACACCGGUGGCGAAGGCGGCU